UCGUCGGCCGGCGGGCGCGGUGCCGGCACGGCCUCCAGUGUCGUCCGCGGCUCGGCGUCGGGAGGGACGACGGCGGAUGAUUCCUCCGCGACGGCC
Molecule: transfer RNA, 96 nt
Filed under: Streptomyces violaceus subsp. violarus
Lineage: Bacteria; Bacillati; Actinomycetota; Actinomycetes; Kitasatosporales; Streptomycetaceae
Also listed under: 1 other name
Description: Streptomyces violarus tRNA-Trp(cca)
Source: RNAcentral